This 404-nucleotide ribosomal RNA is filed under the name uncultured bacterium. RNAcentral's name for it is "partial 16S ribosomal RNA". It matches the Rfam family "Bacterial small subunit ribosomal RNA", at positions 29 to 526 of the family's 1533-position model. The record is from RNAcentral.
AUUGAACGCUGGCGGCAGGCUUAACACAUGCAAGUCGAACGAGUGGCGGACGGGUGAGUAAUGCUUGGGAAUCUAGCUUACGGAGGGGGAUAACUACGGGAAACUGUAGCUAAUACCGCGUACCAUAGGAUGAGCACAAGUGGGAUUAGGUAGGUGGUGAGGUAAAGGCUCACAAAGCCGACGAUCUCUAGCUGGUCUGAGAGGAUGACCAGCCACACGGGGACGGAGACACGGCCCAGACUCCUACGGGAGGCAGCAGUGGGGAGUAUUGCGCAUGGGGGGCAACCUGACGCGGCCAUGCCGGGGGAAUGAAGAAGGCCUUCGGGUUGUAAAGUUCUUUCGGUAGCGAGGCGUUAACUACAGAAGAAGCACCGGCUAACUCCGUGCCAGCAGCCGCGGUAUAC